UAGAGUAAAGAGCAAAGGCCUAUUUACAGAGCAUUGAAUCCACGCUUUCACUUCACGAGUACAGAAACUGAGGCAGCUUGCCAAGGGAUCCAGUCUGCCUGGUAGUGGUGUAGAGAGCAGAAGCCAGGUCUCCUAACAGCACAUCACAGGUGCUUUCUCUGCCCUGUAGGACACACUGGAGAGAGAUGACCCUCUGAAGGCUGUGUUACCCUGAGGAUCUGGGCACAAUACCCUCAGCCAGCCCAAUGGCCGUAGACGCACAGAAGGCAAGCCCAGCCAUGUGGAAGGGAGAGGCUUCUGAGCCUGUGUACAAAAAGGAUCCUUGGAGGAACCAUUCAUCCUGACCAGCCCCCUCCCACUCUUUGCCUGAAACUUAAUUAAUCAUGUUUGCAUCUGGAUUCAGACAAGACAAUAGCGAGGAUGUGUUUUUGGUUAGGAACUGAAGCUGCAUUCGCCGAGGAAUGUUGAUUAGUUAGUGGCUCUGAUUAUGGGAUGAUCCAUCAGGCUGUCUCAGCGUCUUCAUGCGGCCCUUCAGCAGCCAGAGGCUUUCCAGGAAGUGCCCUGGAUCUGGGAAAAGCGAGCACAGGAAGUAUGUCUUAAUGUAUACAACAUGCCCAUAUGUGUAGAACAUGUCAAAUCACAGAUGGUAAGUCAUGGCAGAUAAGCAAAGUUCGAAAUAUGUGACAGGCGUGGAAAUCUAUCUACCUGACCAGCAGCCCUCAAGCUAGACUUCCCUUGCAGACAAAAGUGAUGGGACCAUAGAAGACAGUGAGAUGCCCCUUCCUUCCUUCCGGUCAAGGGCCUUUCCAGCUCUGUUCCAAGCUUGGUGCAGGUAUCCAAGGAUACACCUGCCUGAGAGGGGAGCAAGAACAAGAUGCUGCAAGAUGCUCAGAUGUAGGUUGGCCUUCACUGUCACUGAUUUCCAAUACCAGUAGCCCAAAGGAACCACAGGGCUCACUAUGGGAGAAGAUGUCUGGGGAAAAUCAGGAGACUUGAGACCUAUUUGGGUCACACCAGUUUCCAAAGAUGUUCAGAUCAGCUGAGGUAGUGGUUGACUUGACCUGAGCCCAGCCACGUUGACUCUGCUUACUUUGCUCCUGACUUGUGGCAGAGAGGGCCGACUGAAGAUAAGAUAUGAAGCUGGUGACUGACCUGAGAACCAACAUGCUAAGGUGUCAACCAAACAAUAAACG
Alexandromys fortis (reed vole) is the source of this 1193-nucleotide long non-coding RNA. RefSeq lists it as uncharacterized. Lineage: Eukaryota; Metazoa; Chordata; Mammalia; Rodentia; Cricetidae. The record is from RefSeq and is a predicted model, not a curated record. The transcript is spliced from 3 exons.